This 719-nucleotide ribosomal RNA is filed under the name Bacillus safensis. Its description in RNAcentral is "bacterial SSU rRNA". It matches the Rfam family "Bacterial small subunit ribosomal RNA", at positions 59 to 761 of the family's 1533-position model. Lineage: Bacteria; Bacillati; Bacillota; Bacilli; Caryophanales; Bacillaceae. The record is from RNAcentral.
GAGUCGAGCGGACAGAAGGGAGCUUGCUCCCGGAUGUUAGCGGCGGACGGGUGAGUAACACGUGGGUAACCUGCCUGUAAGACUGGGAUAACUCCGGGAAACCGGAGCUAAUACCGGAUAGUUCCUUGAACCGCAUGGUUCAAGGAUGAAAGACGGUUUCGGCUGUCACUUACAGAUGGACCCGCGGCGCAUUAGCUAGUUGGUGGGGUAAUGGCUCACCAAGGCGACGAUGCGUAGCCGACCUGAGAGGGUGAUCGGCCACACUGGGACUGAGACACGGCCCAGACUCCUACGGGAGGCAGCAGUAGGGAAUCUUCCGCAAUGGACGAAAGUCUGACGGAGCAACGCCGCGUGAGUGAUGAAGGUUUUCGGAUCGUAAAGCUCUGUUGUUAGGGAAGAACAAGUGCGAGAGUAACUGCUCGCACCUUGACGGUACCUAACCAGAAAGCCACGGCUAACUACGUGCCAGCAGCCGCGGUAAUACGUAGGUGGCAAGCGUUGUCCGGAAUUAUUGGGCGUAAAGGGCUCGCAGGCGGUUUCUUAAGUCUGAUGUGAAAGCCCCCGGCUCAACCGGGGAGGGUCAUUGGAAACUGGGAAACUUGAGUGCAGAAGAGGAGAGUGGAAUUCCACGUGUAGCGGUGAAAUGCGUAGAGAUGUGGAGGAACACCAGUGGCGAAGGCGACUCUCUGGUCUGUAACUGACGCUGAGGAGCGAAAGCG